AAGACCUUGCGCUUUUGGAGCGGCCGAUGCCUGAUUAGCUAGUUGGUAGGGUAAAGGCCUACCAAGGCGUCGAUCAGUAGUUGGUCUGAGAGGACGACCAGCCACACUGGGACUGAGACACGGCCCAGACUCCUACGGGAGGCAGCAGUGGGGAAUUUUGGACAAUGGGCGCAAGCCUGAUCCAGCAAUGCCGCGUGAGUGAAGAAGGCCUUCGGGUUGUAAAGCUCUUUCAGUCGAGAAGAAAAGAUUACGACUAAUAAUCGUAAUUCAUGACGGUACCGACAGAAGAAGCACCGGCUAACUACGUGCCAGCAGCCGCGGUAAUACGUAGGGUGCGAGCGUUAAUCGGAAUUACUGGGCGUAAAGGGUGCGCAGGCGGCUUUGUAAGUCAGAUGUGAAAUCCCCGGGCUUAACCUGGGAACU
This 423-nucleotide ribosomal RNA is filed under the name uncultured bacterium. Its description in RNAcentral is "bacterial SSU rRNA". It matches the Rfam family "Bacterial small subunit ribosomal RNA", at positions 207 to 622 of the family's 1533-position model. The record is from RNAcentral.